Capsicum annuum is the source of this 798-nucleotide long non-coding RNA. RefSeq lists it as uncharacterized. NCBI's taxonomy places the organism in Eukaryota, Viridiplantae, Streptophyta, Magnoliopsida, Solanales, Solanaceae. The record is from RefSeq and is a predicted model, not a curated record. The transcript is spliced from 2 exons.
UUGGUUGAAACUAAAUUAAUUAAAAUAUUUUAUCCAAUCCGACUCCAACACAAGUUACCCGAUCCAAACCGUAUAAAGACAGUAUUUUACAUGCAAUGUUAAAACCGUAUAAAGUGUUUUAAAUUUAAGACAAGAAACCAUGCUUUGUACAUGCAUCCAAAUUGAAGAAUACUUUUGAGUCAAAAAACAAAGACAAAACCCUGUGUUUUCUGCAAUUUCUAGUGAAAAACUGAUUAUGUUAUACAUGUAAAAGUAAGGGAGCAAAAUUAGAAUAAAAUUUACCUUGAUUCCAAUAUUUAGUGAUUGUUGAUCAAAGAGUGGAGAUGAGUUUUUGAGUUUGAAUUGAUGAAUGGGCUUACUUUUUUUUUGUCAAUUCUUCAUUCUGCUAUAGUGGCUGGCAGCCUGCUCUAGCAGGAGUUUUCCCACUAUAGUGGGAUCGAGAAUAUUUCACGAGAAGAAAAUUCUCAUUCCUCCUUUUAUGAAGUAAUUGUGAUUUCAAGGUGUAUUGGUGAGUCCCCAGUUAAUCCUUGUAAAAAUUGAUAUCAUGCGAGUCUCGACUGCGAUAAAUUAUGGACGUUUUCAUCCAAUUCCUGUCUGUUGUGAUCAUUUGGGGAUAAACAAUGGGUAAAUUUAUUGUAAUGACCCAAUUUGCUACUGAAAUUGUCGCAUUCAUGGAGGCCGAGGUAAGGUAAAUUUGUUGAUACCUUUAAUUAAUUUAGUUUCAACCAAGUGAAAGUUGUCAUGUAUUUUUUUAAAAAAAUUAUUUAUGAUUUAAGAAAAUCGUUAGUUGCAAGGGUA